This is a long non-coding RNA of Oncorhynchus nerka (sockeye salmon), 3645 nucleotides long. RefSeq lists it as uncharacterized. The transcript has 2 exons. Lineage: Eukaryota; Metazoa; Chordata; Actinopteri; Salmoniformes; Salmonidae. The record is from RefSeq and is a predicted model, not a curated record.
AGCUCCAACAGUGCAGUAGUAUCUAACUAAAUGCUUGUGUUCUUAGGUCCAACAGUGCAGUAGUAUCUAACUAAAUGCUUGUGUUUCUAGCUCCAACAGUGCAGUAGUAUCUAACUAAAUGCUUGUGUUCCUAGCUCCAACAGUGCAGUAGUAUCUAACUAAAUGCUUGUGUUCUUAGGUCCAACAGUGCAGUAGUAUCUAACUAAAUGCUUGUGUUUCUAGCUCCAACAGUGCAGUAGUAUCUAACUAAAUGCUUGUGUUCCUAGCUCCAACAGCGCAGUAGUAUCUAACUAAAUGCUUGUGUUCCUAGCUCCAACAGCGCUGUAGUAUCUAACAAUUCACAACAAUACACAAAUCUAAAAGUAAACGAAUGGAAUUAAAUAAUAAAUAAAUAUUAGGACAAGCAAUGUCGUAGUGGCAUUGACUAAAAUGCAGUGGAAUAGAAUACAGUAUAUACUGUUAGGUUCUAAUUUUUCAGAGUAAAUAACUCACCGACACUAGAGAAGCUUAACCAAGUUCAAUUCUUCCCAAAGGGUCAUUACAGCUGUAAUUCAGACCCCCAAAAAAUCUCACACAAGUACUGAUAUUUAACUCUUUCUCCUAGGCUGAGUCUCCUCCUCCACAACCGAACAGCCAAUGCAUCCCUGUUGCUCGACAGAACCUUAGUGAUAUCUGUUCUUCCUCACUUCGUCUAACCUGAACUCUACCCCAAACUCUACUCUACCCCACUAUAUACCUUCCUCCUAUAACCCUUCACUUCUGGUGUAGAGCCUCUAAACCUCAGCACUCCAUCAGUGACAUGAAUAACUAACAUUUCAUAUUCUCAGAACCCAACAAUACAUAUGAAAUGAGUAAAGCAGUACAAUAUGUAAACAGUAUUAAAGUGACUAGUUUUCCAUUAUUAAAUUGACCAGUGAUUCCAUGUCUAUAUAGGGCAACAGCCUCUAAGGUGCAGGGUUGAGUAACCGGGUGGAGGCCAGCUAGUGAUGGCUGACUAAAAGUCCACUCCGAAUAACUCUUCUCCGCCAGCGACAUCUUGGAGCAGCCUCUGGGAUAAGUUCAAUUGCCCUGGGGGGUACGAACAAAGGAUCCAAUUCGGGAAAGUUGUAUUCCUGGUCAUAAUGCUGGUGAGUUACAUUGGACCCAUAAUAAGUCAUAUUGGACCCAUAAUGGAUUACAACAGCUCUCCAAUGUAAUUUCUUGCUCUCGCUCUUACACAAUGUGCAGGCGCAAUCCCAUAACAGAAUGUACACAUUAUUUACUGAUCUCUUAAAUGGACAGUUUCAUCUAGUGGAUAGAAAUGAAUACAGCAAUGUGUUUUAACCACCUGGCUACAUCAGGCCAUGACCCCUACUGCAGCAAAGAGAGUGGACACAGGCGAGCAGGAUGAUGUUCACUACACAGGCGAGCAGGAUGAUGUUCACUACACAGGCGAGCAGGAUGAUGUUCACUACACAGGCGAGCAGGAUGAUGUUCACUACACAGGCGAGCAGGAUGAUGUUCACUACACAGGCGAGCAGGAUGAUGUUCACUACACAGGCAUCCACCACAGAAACCAGGAAGUGCCUGUCUGUUGCAAAAUAGACUGUUUUUGAGAAACAUUGAUGGCUGUUGUGUUGUUGAGAUGCCAGUAGAGAGCGCUGUAGUACAGUCCACUGGAAACAACAUGUUUUAGUGUAGCUGGUGAGACCUACAGAAGUGCAGAGAAACCACAGGCCUAUUGAUACGGUCCAAUUAUGUUCACAUGUUGUUCAUAAGCACUUCAGUGACGUGUUGGUUGUCAGGAAAAGGCAUCAUGGGUACAGGAAGCCAGCUGUGCAUCAACAUCUUAGACCUUCAGUACAUCUGGUUGGUGUCAACCACAGAACUCACACUCUUCUGUUUCACACAGCCAGUAUAAGGUCUCCUACCAAACUCCUCUCUUCACUCUACUGCAGGGUGGGAGAUGCAACAAUGGCCUUGAGAACAGCAGGAAGUGUGUUGGUGGUCUUUCUCUGGUCUGUGGCAGGUAUGGACUCAUUCAUUUCUUACCCUCUUUCUCUGUAUUGUUCAAUCUACAUAUAGUGCCUUCAGAAAGUCUUCACACCCCUUGACUUUUUUUCACAUUUUGUUAUCACAGCCUGAAUUUAAGAUUCAUUGAGAUUGAGAUUUUGUGUCCUACAUACAAUACCCCAUAAUUUCAAAGUGGAAUUAUGUUUUAAGAAAGUUUUACAAAUGAAUAAAAAAUGAAAAGCUGAAAUGUCUUGUGUCAACAAGUAUUCAUUUGUUAUGGAAAGCAUAAAUAUGUUCAGGGGUAAAAAUGUGCUUCAGUUGCAUGGACUCACUCUGUGUGCAAUAAUAGUGUUUAACGUGAUUUUUAGAAUGACUACCUCAUCUCUUUACCCCACACAUACAAUUCAUUAUCUGUAAGGUCCCUCAGUCGAACACGGAAUUUCAAACACACUGAAUUUCAAACACAGAUUCAACUACAAAGACCAGGGAGGCUUUCCAAUGCCUCGCAAAGAAGGGCGCCUAUUGGUAGGUGGAAAAAAAUACAAAUCAAUGGAAUAUCCCUUUGAGUGUGGUGAGGUUAUUAAUUAUACUUUGGAUGGUGUAUCAAUACACCCAGUCACUAUAACGAUAUAGGCGUCCUUCCUAACUCAAUUGCCGGAGAGGAAGGAAACCGCUCAGGGAUUUCAACAUGAGCUAAUGGUGAGUAUAAUGGUUGUGAUGGUUGUGAUUGGAGAAAACCGAGGAUGGAUCAACAACAUUGUAGUUCAUCUACAAUACUAACCUAAAUGACAGAGUGACAAGAAGGAAGCCUGAAAGGAAUAAAAAAUAUUCCAAAAUGUGCAUCUUGUUUGCAAUAAGGCACUAAAGUAAAACUGCGAAACAAAUGUGACAAAGAAAUGUACUUUGUUCUGAAUACAAAGUGUUAUGUUUGGGGCAAAUCCAACACAACACAUCACUGAAUACCACUUGUGGUGGAGUCUAGGGAUAUGGCUUUUGCUGUUCUGUUCAGUGACUUAUAUAUAUAUAUAUUGUUUUACUUUUACCACUUUUUCUCCGCAAUUGGUAGUUACAGUCUUGUCCCAUUGCUACAACUUCCAUACGGACUCCGGAGAGGCGAAGGUCGAGAGCCAUGCGUCCCCCCGAAACACACACAACCCUGCCCAGCCGCACUGCUGCUUUCUUCAGGGACUUUCCAAGACCACUAUGAGCCCGGUGACGUCGCGACCGGCUAAAAGGACCUGGGGAGAGGUGGCGCGAGUGAGUGCGUAGGCGGGUGUGUUGCAGAAGGAGAAGAACGAUAACGAGUAGAGAAGAGCCGAAUUCAGAAGGUAACAUACAUUGGAAUAAGAGGACGUACUAUAUCUGGACGAGGAUUGUUCCAUACCCCAGAAUGACUGUCAUUUUCGCCUUUGGUUUUAACGUAAAUUCAAUCGAUGGCGGUAGCUACCACUAAAGUUACCAGCCAGAGUGGUGUUAGCUCGUUACCCACCGGAGUGGGUAGCUACCGCCAUCGAUUGGCGUGAUGGACAUCACACUGCUGUUGUUUUUGUCGCACGGCUUUGUCUUGGCCAGGUCGCAGUUGUAAAUUAGAACUUGUUCUCAACUGACCUACCUGGUUAAAUAAAGGUCAAAUAAAAAUGAUAUUAAACAAUC